GGUGGCGGGUGCUAUACUGCAGUCGAGCGGACUGAUGGGAGCUUGGUCCCUGAUGUUAUCGGCGGACGGGUGAGUAACACGUGGGUAACCUGCCUGUGAGACUGGGAUAACUCCGGGAAACCGGGGCUAAUACCGGAUGGUUGUCUGAACCGCAUGGUUCAGACAUAUGAGGUGGCUUCGGCUACCACUUACAGAUGGACCCGCGGCGCGUUAUCUAUUUGGUGAGGUAACGGCUCACCAAGGCGACGAUGCGUAUCCGACCUGAGAGGGUGAUCGGCCACACUGGGACUGAGACACGGCCCACACUCCUACGGGAGGCGGCAGUAGGGAAUCUUCCCCAAUGGACAAAAGUCUGACAGAGCAACGCCCCGUGAGUGAUGAAAGUUUUCUGAUCGCAAAGCUCUGUUGUUAGGGAAGAACAAGUGCCGUUCAAAUAGGGCGGCACCUUGACGGUACCUAACCAAAAAGCCACGGCUAACUACCUGCCAGCAGCCCCGGUAAUACCUAGGUGGCAAGCGUUGUCCGGAAUUAUUUGGCGUAAAGGGCUCGCAGGCGGUUUCUUAAGUCUGAUGUGAAAGCCCCCGGCUCAACCCGGGAGGGUCAUUGGAAACUGGGGAACUUGAGUGCAGAAAAAGAGAGUGGAAUUCCACGUGUAACGGUGAAAUGCCGUAGAGAUGUGGAGGAACACCCAGUGGCGAAAGGCGACUCUCUGGGUCUGUAACUGACGCUGAGGAGCGAAAGCGUGGGGAAGCGAAACAGGAUUAGAUACCCUGGUAGUCCACGCCGUAAACGAUGAGUGCUAAGUGUUAGAGGAUUCCGCCCAUAUGCUGCAGCCUAACGCAUAAGCACUCCGCCUUGGGGAGUACGGUCGCUAGGACG
Molecule: ribosomal RNA, 879 nt
Filed under: uncultured Caryophanales bacterium
Lineage: Bacteria; Bacillati; Bacillota; Bacilli; Caryophanales
Description: bacterial SSU rRNA
Rfam family: Bacterial small subunit ribosomal RNA
Source: RNAcentral